CGGAAGGAAGUCUACUUGUCGAGUUCAUUUCUACCUCGCUAAGACGCACACCCUAAAUUUCUUUAGGAUUUUUGUCUGGUUCUGGCCUUGACUACACCCAUGACAUUUGACCAUGUGCACGAUUGUCAGGAAAAAAAAACGCGCCGAAUAAAUUUCGUGUCAUGUUUUAUCAAGUUCUGUGAGAAAAAUGUAUUCGUUGCAGCUGUGAGCGAUCAAUCUCCGAGGGAGUUAAAGAGUUUCCUGAUGGAAUUUUGGAACUGCCGGACAUCGAAUAAAUGUUGCUGCUACCGUCUAUUCUGCCUGCUUCUGCUGGAAAUUACGCAAGCAUCUGUCGGAACCCCUUGAUGUCGAAACUGCCGGAUGAAGCAAGCUGCCGUAGAUCCUGAAGUUUCUAGAGCUUCCGUUUGCUGUGAGAAUUUCCGGUUUUUGUUAUGUUUUAAGUUAUAAUCGUGGAUGUUUUCGUUUCUGAUAAAUAAAUAAGGGGGAGGGGUUAGGGACAUGAGGCACAGUUUCAGCGGCGUCGUACAGAGAUCCUCCCGCGUAUCGUCCAAGCUGCGUCGUAAGGUAAUUCGUCCAAGAACGUCCAGGAAUUUCCGGAGAGUUCACCAAGGAGAUCCAUCUACAUGUCGUCCCUGCUGCGUCGAAAGGAGAUACAUCCGGGAGUUGCUGGAGAGUCCUCCAAGGAAAUAAGCUCGCGUGUUUUUCCAACUGCGUCGUUAGCUGAUCCAUCCAGGAGUUGCUGAAGAACUCUCCAAGGAGUUCCGCUCGCGUGUCAUCCCAGUUGCUUUGUAAUGAGAUUGAUUGGUCCAGGAGUUGCUGGAGCAUCCUCCAAUAAGAUUCGCCAGUGUGUUGUCCCAGCUGCGUCGUCGGGUGACUAGUCCACAUAUGGGUUUAUCCGCAUAUUGAGGGAUCCGUCCAGGAGUUCCGUCGGUGCUUUGAGUAAGUUAUCCAGUAAAAAUAAUGCGAUAACACACUCCUAAUGUAUUUAUUAAUAAGUUUAACAUAUAGGUUUUGUUUUAUAUAUGUAUUUAUUUAAUUUGUAAGAAAAUAAAAUUUAUGAACAUAGCAAUUUGUUGUUGUUCCUUGGCUUUUGAAAAACAAAAAAAAAAUAAAGAAAAGAAAGAAAAAGAAGAUUUUUGACGUAUCGAUGUCUGCUAGAUAUCAGCUAGAUGUCUAGUACCCAAUGUCUAGUAGAUAUCUGAAAGAUAACUAGUAGACAUCAUCUGUCAUCCACAUUUUGAGGUAGACAAAAUGUUGCAUUGGAAGGAGAUUUCUAGUCGACUUGUAGGAGAUAUCUACUUCAAUAUCUACUAGACAUUAUUUUUAAUCUAGUAGACUUUUACUCGAUUUCUACCAGCCAUUUCCG
Aedes albopictus (Asian tiger mosquito) is the source of this 1366-nucleotide long non-coding RNA. RefSeq lists it as uncharacterized. The record is from RefSeq and is a predicted model, not a curated record. The transcript is spliced from 3 exons. NCBI's taxonomy places the organism in Eukaryota, Metazoa, Arthropoda, Insecta, Diptera, Culicidae.